This 373-nucleotide ribosomal RNA is filed under the name uncultured delta proteobacterium. RNAcentral describes it as "bacterial SSU rRNA". It matches the Rfam family "Bacterial small subunit ribosomal RNA", at positions 521 to 896 of the family's 1533-position model. Lineage: Bacteria; Deltaproteobacteria. The record is from RNAcentral.
UAAUACGGAGGGGGCGAGCGUUGCUCGGAAUUACUGGGCGUAAAGGGUCCGCAGGUGGCUUAGUAAGUUAGAUGUGAAAUCUCAGGGCUCAACCCUGAAACUGCAUCUAAUACUGCUUAGCUUGAGUACAGGAGAGGUUGGCGGAAUUCCCGGUGCAGCGGUGAAAUGCGUAGAUAUCGGGAGGAGCACCAGUGGCGAAGGCGGCCAACUGGCCUGUUACUGACACUCAGGGACGAAAGCGUGGGGAGCAAACCGGAUUAGAUACCCGGGUAGUCCACGCCCUAAACGAUGGAUGCUAGGUGUGGGGAUGAAAAUCUCUGUGCCGUAGUUAACGCAUUAAGCAUCCCGCCUGGGGAGUACGAUCGCAAGAUUG